CCUCCUGGGUUAGGGCCCCUGAGCCAUCCUAUUGCGGGGCGGAGCUAUGAGGGUCCAGGAGACACCAGUCCAAGCUGUAAGCCCCAAGGCUUAAGCAGGUGCAGCGAGCAACGGGCCUUUCUGCUAGGGCCACCGCAGAUCCCAAGGGGUUUGUCUCGAGAUCGGAGCGAAGAAGAAACACACAGACCAUCAGCGGAACAAGGAAAGGAGGUUCCAGGCCUGGCUUCACUCCCUGACUCGCUGACAACAGCCCUCCCAGGAUCGCCAGAGGUCUAGAAUCAGUGGUGUGUUAUUAGAAUCCGAGUGUAUAAGAUCCGAGGUGCCUCGAUCCUUCUUCGACUCUCGCUGCAUGCUGAAAUCCUUGAGUUAUGACUUUCCCAGCAGCCUCUGUAGCCAGCCCUCUUCCACCAGGACUUCAGCUCUCUUCUGAAAUGGAGUCACCACGUAUCCACAGGGUGGAUUUCUGGGAGAGGCAAGCAGGUAUCUGGUGGGCAAAUGGUAACAUCCUUCCAGGUUCAACUUCUUCUGAAGGCGUCUCUGGUCACCUGGAUAUAUGCACCCAUCUACCCUUCCAGAUCGUGCAGCAGGGGUGGUAAUGCUUUAACCUCUGGCUGGUAUGCUUCAGGUCCCUCAAAACAUGGCCAUGCAUUCCUGGCAACACUGAAGGCUGUUUAUGUGCAGCAUGAAUAAAUGUUUUAGGGUU
Microtus ochrogaster (prairie vole) is the source of this 703-nucleotide long non-coding RNA. RefSeq lists it as uncharacterized. The transcript is spliced from 3 exons. The record is from RefSeq and is a predicted model, not a curated record. Lineage: Eukaryota; Metazoa; Chordata; Mammalia; Rodentia; Cricetidae.